AUGAGCCAUAGGAAGCUCUUUUUCUUGGGCCGCACACUUUUGAAAAGGUGCAGGAUCUUAGUUCUUGAUGAAGCCACGGCCUCUAUAGAUAAUGCAACUGAUGCCGUCCUUCAGAAAACGAUCCAGUCAGAAUCCAAACAUUGCACCGUUAUUACUGUCGCACACCGUAUACCAACAGUUAUGGGCUGUGACAUGGUACUUGCAAUAAGUGAUGGGAAAGUAGUGGAGUAUGACAAGCCCAUGAAGCUCAUGGAAACUGAGGGAUCUCUCUUCCGUGAGCUGGUCAACGAGUACUGGUCAUACACAUCAAACGGAAAUGUUUAG
Molecule: ribosomal RNA, 324 nt
Filed under: Triticum aestivum (bread wheat)
Lineage: Eukaryota; Viridiplantae; Streptophyta; Magnoliopsida; Poales; Poaceae
Description: partial small subunit ribosomal RNA
Source: RNAcentral